GAAAAAGUUGCUACAUGUAAAGUUGAUGUCUAUUUAAGACAGAAUACAUACCAGUUUCUAUAGUUUCCACAGGAAACAGAUUGAAUUUUGUGUCUCAAAUCUCAAUAACCAAAUGUGCCUUCUUACAGAUUUUCUCCAAAUCCAGUCUCUUUCUCAAAGUAACUUCUUUCGUUUUUGUUUAUUCCAGUUCCUACAGCCUUGGUAGCUUUGUCUCUUGCAAGAAAAAGUAUACAAUAAUUUCACUUUUGCUAUAGUUAUCAUGCAUUCAACCAACUGUACUCACCAAAUUUGGUGGUAGUCCUAGUGAACAAUCGUGGCAACACUAAUUUCUUUAAGAAAAAAAAGGAGUGAUUGUGGAUAUUUGAGUCUAAAAGAAUCUUUAGAACUGAUCGGUAAUAUUAUUGGCGUAUUUAAAAAAUGCAUGCAUUAAGUGAGUGUAGAGAAAUAUAAAAGUUCUAAAUGGACGAACAAUAAUAAAGGGAUCAAGUUGUUCAAUCUUACUCUAUUUGGCCUUAGAAUGAAGUAAAUGGACCAUAAUAGUUCGUUACUUCCCAGAAUGAUAAGCAAACUAAAUUUACAAAAAAUUUAAAGUAGAAGAAUGGCACUGUUUGAGCUUUACCUGCUGUAAUGUUGACUGCGGAAUAGGUUAUGCAGUGUUCUAGGUACCGGAAAGUAAACGCUGAGAUACCUCUUGAUUUGCAUUCAGCCAUUUUCCUAUUUUAGACUCUAUUUAUGAUGCUUAUUGUAGGGGAGAUAUAGUUUUAAAUGAUAAAGGUGAGAUGAUAGAUGCAAAGAAAAAACAUAUAUUUGUUGAUGAUCCAAAAUUAUACCGGGUAAUUGAUGAACCAUAUUGGGGACCUGAAAAGUUUCUGCAUUAUAUUUUUUUACGAGGGAGCUGGCGGUAUAUAUUAUGUACUAGUAGGUAAAUAAGACAUAUCUUUUUCCUUAGUUCUUUCUAUCAUUUUCAAUUAUAUUGCAAUUGAAAAAAUCACCUUCUUCCAACCUCUUAAUGAAGUAUUUGGAAAGCAACGCAAAGUAAUGGAGUAUAAAAAGAAGAAAGACAAAUAAAUGACAAAAGAAUCCCAGAAGUACUAACCUAUGUUUCUUGGCAAGCAUCAUAACUAGAGUCUGUUGCUAUCCAGCUUACGCGUAGCUUUUGGAUUUUCAGAGUGAACAUUCCUCAAACACUUGGUAAGCAUCUAUAAUGUUCUUGUUAUCCAGUAGAACUUUAACUUCUUUUGAUCAAAUAGUGAAAGAUCGAGGCUGUUGAGCUCAAAAAAAUUACUCUUUGAGGAACCAUAAAUGAAGGUUGUCUAUAUGUAAACAGUGAUUCAGUCCCUCCACAAUUAAAAACCACCAUUGUGAGUUUGUGACCACUUUCCUAUUUUCCAACAAGAAAUGUGCAAAAUAGAGCAUAUAUAAUUAUGGAGUAGGUCUCCAGAUUCGUCGAGGGUGAG
Molecule: long non-coding RNA, 1457 nt
Filed under: Nicotiana tabacum (common tobacco)
Lineage: Eukaryota; Viridiplantae; Streptophyta; Magnoliopsida; Solanales; Solanaceae
Description: long non-coding RNA (NTAB_LNC011005)
Source: RNAcentral